Molecule: ribosomal RNA, 246 nt
Filed under: uncultured eukaryote
Lineage: Eukaryota
Description: partial small subunit ribosomal RNA
Rfam family: Eukaryotic small subunit ribosomal RNA
Source: RNAcentral
AGCUCCAAUAGCGUAUAUUAAAGUUGUUGCGGUUAAAAAGCUCGUAGUUGGAUUUCUGCUGAAGCAAACCGGUCCGCCCUCUGGGUGAGUAUCUGGCUUUACUUUGGCAUAUGCCCAGACUUUGCAGCUGCACUUGACUGUGUGGUGUAAAGGCUGAGCCGUUUACUUUGAGGAAAUCAGAGUGCUUCAAGCAGGCAAUUGCCUUGAAUACAUUAGCAUGGAAUAAUGCGACAGGACCUCGGUCCA